Molecule: ribosomal RNA, 585 nt
Filed under: uncultured bacterium
Lineage: Bacteria
Description: partial 16S ribosomal RNA
Rfam family: Bacterial small subunit ribosomal RNA
Source: RNAcentral
UGGGGAAUUUUGGACAAUGGGCGAAAGCCUGAUCCAGCAAUGCCGCGUGUGUGAAGAAGGCCUUCGGGUUGUAAAGCACUUUUGUCCGGAAAGAAAUCCUUGGCUCUAAUACAGUCGGGGGAUGACGGUACCGGAAGAAUAAGCACCGGCUAACUACGUGCCAGCAGCCGCGGUAAUACGUAGGGUGCAAGCGUUAAUCGGAAUUACUGGGCGUAAAGCGUGCGCAGGCGGUUUGCUAAGACCGAUGUGAAAUCCCCGGGCUCAACCUGGGAACUGCAUUGGUGACUGGCAGGCUAGAGUAUGGCAGAGGGGGGUAGAAUUCCACGUGUAGCAGUGAAAUGCGUAGAGAUGUGGAGGGAUACCGAUGGCGAAGGCAGCCCCCUGGGCCAAUACUGACGCUCAUGCACGAAAGCGUGGGGAGCAAACAGGAUUAGAUACCCUGGUAGUCCACGCCCUAAACGAUGUCAACUAGUUGUUGGGGAUUCAUUUCCUUAGUAACGUAGCUAACGCGUGAAGUUGACCGCCUGGGGAGUACGGUCGCAAGAUUAAAACUUAAAGGAAUUGACGGGGUCAUAGCUGUUUCCU